GAUGAAGAACGUAGCGAAAUGCGAUAAGUAAUGUGAAUUGCAGAAUUCAGUGAAUCAUCGAAUCUUUGAACGCACAUUGCGCCCGCCAGUAUUCUGGCGGGUAUGCCUGUUCGAGCGUCAUUUCAACCAUCAAGCCCUGCUUGCGUUGGGGUCCUGCGGCUGCCCGCAGGCCCUGAAAACCAGUGGCGGGCUCGCUAGUCACACCGAGCGCAGUAAUACAUCUCGCUUUGGGCGUGCGGCGGGUUCUUGCCGUUAAACACCCCCUUUUUACCAAGGUUGACCUCGGAUCAGGUAGGAAUACCCGCUGAACUUAAGCAUAUCAAUAAGCGGAGGA
Molecule: unclassified non-coding RNA, 334 nt
Filed under: soil metagenome
Description: partial contains 5.8S ribosomal RNA, internal transcribed spacer 2, and large subunit ribosomal RNA
Rfam family: 5.8S ribosomal RNA (bases 1-120)
Source: RNAcentral